Molecule: ribosomal RNA, 667 nt
Filed under: uncultured Geobacillus sp.
Lineage: Bacteria; Bacillati; Bacillota; Bacilli; Caryophanales; Anoxybacillaceae
Description: bacterial SSU rRNA
Rfam family: Bacterial small subunit ribosomal RNA
Source: RNAcentral
GACGAACGCUGGCGGCGUGCCUAAUACAUGCAAGUCGAGCGGACCAAAUCGGAGCUUGCUCUGGUUUGGUCAGCGGCGGACGGGUGAGUAACACGUGGGCAACCUGCCCGCAAGACCGGGAUAACUCCGGGAAACCGGAGCUAAUACCGGAUAACACCGAAGACCGCAUGGUCUUUGGUUGAAAGGCGGCCUUUGGCUGUCACUUGCGGAUGGGCCCGCGGCGCAUUAGCUAGUUGGUGAGGUAACGGCUCACCAAGGCGACGAUGCGUAGCCGGCCUGGGAGGGUGACCGGCCACACUGGGACUGAGACACGGCCCAGACUCCUACGGGAGGCAGCAGUAGGGAAUCUUCUGCAAUGGGCGAAAGCCUGACGGAGCGACGCCGCGUGAGCGAAGAAGGCCUUCGGGUCGUAAAGCUCUGUUGUGAGGGACGAAGGAGCGCCGUUCGAAGAGGGCGGCGCGGUGACGGUACCUCACGAGGAAGCCCCGGCUAACUACGUGCCAGCAGCCGCGGUAAUACGUAGGGGGCGAGCGUUGUCCAGAAUUAUUGGGCGUAAAGCGCGCGCAGGCGGUUCCUUAAGUCUGAUGUGAAAGCCCACGGCUCAACCGUGGAGGGUCAUUGGAAACUGGGUGACUUGAGUGCAGGAGAGGAGAGCGGAAUUCCACGU